This 598-nucleotide long non-coding RNA is filed under the name Homo sapiens (human). RNAcentral describes it as "non-protein coding LINC01539:24". The record is from RNAcentral. Lineage: Eukaryota; Metazoa; Chordata; Mammalia; Primates; Hominidae.
AGAUAGGCACAGCAGCAGAUCAGAAAGCCUGUUCAUCCAGAAGCAGAGUUCUAGCCAGGAAAGUGAAUACCAGUCUGCAACUUCAACCUCAAUGGGUGACUAUCUGUGAAGCUCCUCUGCUGGGGGAGAGUGGGCAGCCUCUCCCUUGCCCACUGGGAGAAAAGGGAGUGACCCCGGCAAGACCAAUUCCUCCUCUCCCCUGUCCUCCUCCUCGCCUACUCCACAUGAAGACAACGAGGAUGAAGACCUUCAUGAUGAUCCAUUUCCACUUAAUGAACAGUUUGGAAAAUACUCAUCUUUGAUUAAAAAGUUGGAAAGAACUGACCGGGCGCGGUGGCUCACGCCUGUAAUCUCAGCACUUUGGGAGGCGGAGGCGGGCGGAUCACAAGGUCAAGAGAUCGAGACCACGGUGAAACCCCGUCUCUACUAAAAAUACAAAAAAAAAAAAAUCAGCCGAGCUCGGUGGCUGGCACCUAUAGUCCCAGCUACUUGGGAGGCUGAGGCAGGAGAAUGGCGUGAACCCACGAGGCGGAGCUUGCAGUGAGCUAAUACCGCGUCACUGCACUCCAGCCUAGGUGACAGAGGAAGACUCCGUCUC